CAGUCGCCGCGGUAAUACGGAGGGUGCAAGCGUUAAUCGGAAUUACUGGGCGUAAAGCGCACGCAGGCGGUCUGACAAGUCAGAUGUGAAAUCCCCGGGCUUAACCUGGGAACUGCAUUUGAAACUGGCAGGCUAGAGUCUUGUAGAGGGGGGUAGAAUUCCAGGUGUAGCGGUGAAAUGCGUAGAGAUCUGGAGGAAUACCGGUGGCGAAGGCGGCCCCCUGGACAAAGACUGACGCUCAGGUGCGAAAGCGUGGGGAGCAAACAGGAUUAGAUACCCGAGUAGUCCCUGUCUCUUAUAU
Molecule: ribosomal RNA, 301 nt
Filed under: uncultured bacterium
Lineage: Bacteria
Description: partial 16S ribosomal RNA
Rfam family: Bacterial small subunit ribosomal RNA
Source: RNAcentral